AGGACGAACGCUGGCGGCGUGCUUAACACAUGCAAGUCGAGCGGAAAGGCCCUUCGGGGUACUCGAGCGGCGAACGGGUGAGUAACACGUGAGCAACCUGCCCUUAGCUUCGGGAUAGCUCCGGGAAACCGGAAUUAAUACCGAAUAUGACUUUGGCUGACAUCAGCAGUAGCGGAAAGUUUUUCGGCUAGGGAUGGACUCGCGGCCUAUCAGCUAGUUGGUGAGGUAACGGCCCACCAAGGCGACGACGGGUA
Molecule: ribosomal RNA, 254 nt
Filed under: uncultured bacterium
Lineage: Bacteria
Description: partial small subunit ribosomal RNA
Rfam family: Bacterial small subunit ribosomal RNA
Source: RNAcentral